GACGUAGGGCGCGAGCGUUGUCCGGAUUUAUUGGGCGUAAAGAGCUCGUAGGCGGCUUGUCGCGUCGACUGUGAAAACCCGCGGCUCAACUGCGGGCCUGCAGUCGAUACGGGCAGGCUAGAGUUCGGUAGGGGAGACUGGAAUUCCUGGUGUAGCGGUGAAAUGCGCAGAUAUCAGGAGGAACACCAAUGGCGAAGGCAGAUCUCUGGGCCGUAACUGACGCUGAGGAGCGAAAGCAUGGGGAGCGAACAGG
This 253-nucleotide ribosomal RNA is filed under the name uncultured bacterium. Its description in RNAcentral is "partial 16S ribosomal RNA". It matches the Rfam family "Bacterial small subunit ribosomal RNA", at positions 524 to 776 of the family's 1533-position model. The record is from RNAcentral.